This 89-nucleotide transfer RNA is filed under the name Mycobacterium tuberculosis. Its description in RNAcentral is "tRNA-Gly(acc)". Lineage: Bacteria; Bacillati; Actinomycetota; Actinomycetes; Mycobacteriales; Mycobacteriaceae. The record is from RNAcentral.
GGUUCGCCCGGUCCGGCGAGACCGCCGUGACCCUCGGCGGUAUCGAGCGCAAGCUCGAUACCGCCGAUGUCCUGAUCGUCGACGAUGCU